GGGCCCGCACAAGCGGUGGAGCAUGUGGUUUAAUUCGAUGAUACGCGAGGAACCUUACCAGGGCUUAAAUGUAACGGGACAGAUCUAGAGAUAGAUCCUUCUUCGGACUCAUUACAAGGUGCUGCAUGGUUGUCGUCAGCUCGUGCCGUGAGGUGUCAGGUUAAGUCCUAUAACGAGCGCAACCCCCAUCGUUAGUUGCCAACGAGUAAUGUCGGGAACUCUAACGAAACUGCCGGUGCAAACCGUGAGGAAGGUGGGGAUGACGUCAAAUCAUCACGGCCCUUACGUCCUGGGCUACACACGUGCUACAAUGGUCGGUACAGAGAGCAGCCACUACGCGAGUAGGAGCAAAUCUUCAAAACCGGUCUC
Molecule: ribosomal RNA, 369 nt
Filed under: uncultured bacterium
Lineage: Bacteria
Description: bacterial SSU rRNA
Rfam family: Bacterial small subunit ribosomal RNA
Source: RNAcentral